Long non-coding RNA from Gorilla gorilla gorilla (western lowland gorilla), 762 nucleotides. RefSeq lists it as uncharacterized. The record is from RefSeq and is a predicted model, not a curated record. NCBI's taxonomy places the organism in Eukaryota, Metazoa, Chordata, Mammalia, Primates, Hominidae. The transcript is spliced from 3 exons.
CCCUCCUGGUCGGAUUAGUCCUCUCCCUCAGUCAGGUCAGGCUUCUCCUCCACGGCCAUCUGUCCAUUCCAUCCGGUUACUUGCUGCCAGGUCGCAGUUGCUGCAGCUACUCCAGUCCAAUUCGGCCGACGCUAGAUCAACUGAGAUGCAAAACCCGUGUUCACAUCAUGAGUGAGUCUUCUAACUCGGACAAUGCAAUCAACAAAUUCUAAGACCAAAUUCCGGCGGCACUGGCUCCACAGCUCCUGAGUGUGGAAGGAGGUGAACAGGGAAAAGCAGAGAGGACAAAAGUCACAUCCCCUCCCCGCAGACCCAUACUGGAGAAGGGUGGAAGAUUUCGCUUCGAGUCAAGUUCAGAAUUUUGAUUAACAUCUUGGCAUGCACAUUCGAAUUUCAGAAUCAAGACUGUUGGCCAUAAAAAAUGACUAUAGCCUUGUAUAUUACCUGAACUGAGCAGUAAAAAAAAGUCAUGGUCCUUCUGGGGCUUUUAUUCUGAGACAGGAACCCUGAACAGGCAGGAGAAAGGGAAUGUUGAGAGAAACAAAGACAGUUGGCAACACACGCUGACCACCAUGCGGACGUCCAUCAAACCCAGCACUGGCCCUGGGUACAUGCGCCUUUGCUGUUACCCCAAUACAUUUUCUUCUGCAGAGCAAGCAACAGAACACAUGCAGACCUUAAUAAAUACCACUGGGUAAUGUGACAAUGGCCAAACUCUCCUCACGGGGGAGAGAGUGUCCCCCAGUUUUGCUCCCUUUUAAU